RNAcentral lists this ribosomal RNA (808 nucleotides) under uncultured bacterium. RNAcentral's name for it is "bacterial SSU rRNA". It matches the Rfam family "Bacterial small subunit ribosomal RNA", at positions 27 to 857 of the family's 1533-position model. The record is from RNAcentral.
GGAUGAACGUUGGCGGCGUGCCUAACACAUGCAAGUCGAACGGCAAUAGCAAUAUUGGAGUGGCGCACGGGUGAGUAACACGUAGCUAAUCUACCUCAAAGCGCGGGAUAACGUGUCGAAAGACAGGCUAAUACCGCAUAAGCUCGCGAUCUGUAGAGGGUUGCGAGAAAAGGCUUCGGUCACUUUGAGAUGAGGCUGCGGCCCAUCAGCUAGUUGGUGCGGUAACGGCGUACCAAGGCGACGACGGGUAGGGGACCUGAGAGGGUGACCCCCCACACUGGGACUGAGACACGGCCCAGACUCCUACGGGAGGCAGCAGUGAGGAAUAUUGCACAAUGGGCGAAAGCCUGAUGCAGCGACGCCGCGUGGGUGAAGAAGGUUUUCGGAUCGUAAAACCCUUUUCUGUGUGACGAGCAAGGACGGUAGCACAGGAAUAAGUCUCGGCUAACUACGUGCCAGCAGCCGCGGUAAAACGUAGGAGACAAACGUUAUCCGGAGUUACUGGGCGUAAAGGGCGCGUAGGUGGUUUCGUAAGUCUGGCGUGAAAUUUCUCGGCUUAACCGGGAGUGGUCGUCGGAUACUGCGGGACUAGAGGACGGUAGAGGCGUGUGGAAUUCCGGGUGUAGUGGUGAAAUGCGUAGAGAUCCGGAGGAACACCAGUGGCGAAGGCGACACGCUGGGCCGUACCUGACACUGAGGCGCGAUAGCAUGGGGAGCAAACAGGAUUAGAAACCCUGGUAGUCCAUGCCGUAAACGACGCUAACUGGGUGUUCAGGGGGGGAAACCCCUCGGGGUACCGAAGUCAACA